CUCGUAGGCGGCCAACUAAGUCAUACGUGAAAUCCCUCAGCUUAACUGGGGAACUGCGUGUGAUACUGGAUGGCUUGGAUUUGGGAGAGGGAUGCGGAAUUCCAGGUGUAGCAGUGAAAUGCGUAGAUAUCAAGAGGAACACCAGUGGCGAAGGCGAGUCCCUGGACAACACCUGACACUGAGGCACGAAAGCUAGGGGAGCAAACA
RNAcentral lists this ribosomal RNA (207 nucleotides) under uncultured bacterium. RNAcentral's name for it is "partial 16S ribosomal RNA". It matches the Rfam family "Bacterial small subunit ribosomal RNA", at positions 568 to 774 of the family's 1533-position model. The record is from RNAcentral.